GACGAACGCUGGCGGCGUGCUUAACACAUGCAAGUCGAACGGAAAGGCCCUGCUUUUGUGGGGUGCUCGAGUGGCGAACGGGUGAGUAACACGUGAGUAACCUGCCCUUGACUUUGGGAUAACUUCAGGAAACUGGGGCUAAUACCGGAUAGGAGCUCCUGCUGCAUGGUGGGGGUUGGAAAGAUUCGGCGGUUGGGGAUGGACUCGCGGCUUAUCAGCUUGUUGGUGGGGUAGUUGCUUACCAAGGCUUUGACGGGUAGCCGGCCUGAGAGGGUGACCGGCCACAUUGGGACUGAGAUACGGACCAGACUCCUACGGGAGGCAGCAGUGGGGAAUAUGGCACAAUGGGCGGAAGCCUGAUGCAGCAACGCCGCGUGCGGGAUGACGGCCUUCGGGUUGUAAACCGCUUUCGCCUGUGACGAAGCGUGAGUGACGGUAAUGGGUAAAGAAGCACCGGCUAACUACGUG
RNAcentral lists this ribosomal RNA (468 nucleotides) under uncultured bacterium. Its description in RNAcentral is "partial 16S ribosomal RNA". It matches the Rfam family "Bacterial small subunit ribosomal RNA", at positions 28 to 507 of the family's 1533-position model. The record is from RNAcentral.